CAAUAACAGUGUCAUUACGCCGUGUAUCCGGUUUGUAGAAGAAUACCGUCCUGCUCAGUGAUAAUGUCCUGCAUGCCUGACGUGUGCUCAUUGUAAACUGCGAAAUCAGAUAAUGGGCGAGCUCACGCUUUAUCACUGGUUUU
Molecule: small RNA, 143 nt
Filed under: Tatumella morbirosei
Lineage: Bacteria; Pseudomonadati; Pseudomonadota; Gammaproteobacteria; Enterobacterales; Erwiniaceae
Description: isrN Hfq binding RNA
Rfam family: isrN Hfq binding RNA
Source: Rfam by way of RNAcentral